GCUCCGGUAGCCUAGCGGAUAGAGUGUCCGCGCCUCGGAUGCAGAAAGUCACGGGUUCGAACUCCGGCCGAGUCA
Molecule: non-coding RNA, 75 nt
Organism: Potamilus streckersoni
Lineage: Eukaryota; Metazoa; Mollusca; Bivalvia; Unionida; Unionidae
Source: the annotation of a GenBank genome assembly